UAGUCCGCGCCGUAAACGAUGGAUACUAGCUGCUUGAGAAACUAAUCUCUUGAGUGGCGAAGCUAACGCAUUAAGUAUCCCGCCUGGGGAGUACACUGGCAACGGUGAAACUCAAAGGAAUUGACGGGGGCCCGCACAAGCGGUGGAGUAUGUGGUUUAAUUCGAAGCAACGCGCAGAACCUUACCUGGCCUUGACAUCCUGAGACAACCCUAGAGAUAGGGCUUCCACUUCGGUGGCUCAGUGACAGAUGCUGCAUGGCUGUCGUCAGCUCGUGUCGUGAAAUGAUCGGUUAAGUCCGGCAACGAGCGCAACCCACAUCUUUAGUUGCCAGCAGUUCGGCUGGGCACUCUAAAGAAACUGCCCGUGAUAAGCGGGAGGAAGGUGUGGAUGACGUCAAGUCCUCAUGGCCCUUACGGGUUGGGCUACACACGUGCUACAAUGGCAGUGACAAUGGGUUAAUCCCCAAAAACUGUCUCAGUUCGGAUUGGGGU
This 492-nucleotide ribosomal RNA is filed under the name uncultured bacterium. RNAcentral's name for it is "bacterial SSU rRNA". It matches the Rfam family "Bacterial small subunit ribosomal RNA", at positions 791 to 1304 of the family's 1533-position model. The record is from RNAcentral.